Molecule: ribosomal RNA, 804 nt
Filed under: uncultured bacterium
Lineage: Bacteria
Description: bacterial SSU rRNA
Rfam family: Bacterial small subunit ribosomal RNA
Source: RNAcentral
CCUACAAUGCAAGUCGAAGGGGAUUAACGCCUGCAUGAAGUUUUCGGAUGGAGUCUUGUUNAUUCUAGCUGGCGAACGGGUGAGUAACGCGCUGAGCAACCUGCCCUUCAGUGGGGGACAACAGCCUGGAAACGGCUGCCUAAUACCGCAUAACACAGUUUGGUGGCNUCAUUAAACUGUCAAAGAUUUAUCGCUGAAGGAUGGGCUCGCGUCUGAUUAGCUAGUUGGUGAGGUAACGGCUCACCAAGGCAACGAUCAGUAGCCGGACUGAGAGGUUGAACGGCCACNUUGGGACUGAGAUACGGCCCAGACUCCUACGGGAGGCAGCAGUGAGGAAUAUUGGGCAAUGGGCGAAAGCCUGACCCAGCAAUGCCCGCGUGAGGGAAGAAGGUUUUCGGAUUGUAAACCUCUUUUCUGAAGGAAGAUAAUGACGGUACUUCAGGAAUAAGCCACGGCUAACUACGUGCCAGCAGCCGCGGUAAUACGUAGGUGGCAAGCGUUGUCCGGAUUUACUGGGUGUAAAGGGCGAGUAGGCNGGAGUGUAAGUCANGUGUGAAAUCUAUGGGCUCAACCCAUAAACUGCACUUGAAACUAUACUUCUUGAGUGAUGGAGAGGCAGGCGGAAUUCCGAGUGUACCGGUGGAAUGCGUACAUAUUCGGAGGAACACCAGUGGCNAANGCGGCCUGCUGGACAUUAACUGACGCUGAGGAGCGAAAGCGUGGGGAGCAAACAGGAUUANAUACCCUGNUANUCCACGCUGUAAAACNAUGGAUACUAGGUGUGGGAGGUAUUGACCCCUUCCG